This is a long non-coding RNA of Betta splendens (Siamese fighting fish), 1123 nucleotides long. RefSeq lists it as uncharacterized. NCBI's taxonomy places the organism in Eukaryota, Metazoa, Chordata, Actinopteri, Anabantiformes, Osphronemidae. The record is from RefSeq and is a predicted model, not a curated record. The transcript is spliced from 6 exons.
GGGGGGGGGGGGGGUUCGGGAGAGAGAGGUUAGAGUUUUUGUUCUGUGUAGUUCCGGGUGAUUGAAGACUGUUGGGAGACCUGUUGUCACCCCGCUGUUGUGAUUAAGAAAAUAAAGGAGUGCUGUUCACACCGAGGUGCCGAGAUGUUGAUAAAUGUAAAACAUGGGGGGAAUAGGUGAAGGCUGAUUACAUCUGUACAGUCCAGCACAUUGAGGAGGUCUUUCCUGAAUGCCAACAAAGAUGUGUUAUCUACACACAUGAAGGAAGAACAGAGAGCACCUGUAUGUUUUCAUCUGUGAUGGCGUGUGAUCUGUGAAGAAGGCUGGUGCAUCCCAGCUACCGAAGCGCAAGGAGGUUGCUUCUCAAACUGACACGUCACUGCAGGCUGUGGGCACACGGCUACCUUGUAGAAGAGUUGUUGGCUCACCUCAGGAGCACAUGUGUAAUCCUUCUGGAGCAAGAGGAACUCUGUCCCAAGUCAAAAUGAAACACGAAAUCCUACAAAAAGGUAAGAUUUGAUUACAUAAUUACAGGAUCUAUAUCUUGCAUAGGCUUCUACAAUGUUGUAGUACUCUGACUUUAUUUCACUUUGAUCUUAUGGGUUGCAUUGUCUUGCAGUCACUGAUGGACGGAUUGUAUUAUUGGACCCCCCAGAAAGCACACAGUCUGGGACAUUGUGUGAAGCAAUGUAAAUAAUAAUCAAUUUUAUUUUUUAGGACAUGAAGGAAUGAUGAGUGCUUUGGUGCAGAAACCUUAGUAAAAAUGAUUCUGACAAAUCAUGUUUCUUAAGAGUCUUCCAUCUCUGUGGUCUACUUGGUUCACUACUGGAUCCUCUUGGUCCUCUUCAGCAGGACAAGAAGGGUGGCUCUCCUCGUAUUGUGGCAAUGUUGUGAAGGACAACACAAUUCACUAUAUUGUCACAUGCCCUUUCUGGACUGACCCUGAGGCCACACAGACACUGGAAGCUCGCCUUCAGGAUGCCUGUGGUCAUCUUCACCUUGGCCCGUGUUCUGCUGUGGGCCCGUUUGAACUGUGUCUGUGGUCCAGGCUCAGGUUCAGGGUAGGGUGUCAUUAAAUAGGGCAGACAAGGGAAUCCUCUGUCCCCCCCAGCAAGUAGCUAUU